UACGUAGGGACCAAGCGUUGUUCGGAUUUACUGGGCGUAAAGGGCGCGUAGGCGGCAUGACAAGUCACUUGUGAAAUCUCCGGGCUUAACUCGGAACGGCCAAGUGAAACUGUCAAGCUAGAGUGCGGUAGGGGAGAUCGGAAUUCCUGGUGUAGCGGUGAAAUGCGCAGAUAUCAGGAGGAACACCGGUGGCGAAGGCGGAUCUCUGGGCCGUAACUGACGCUGAGGAGCGAAAGCAUGGGGAGCGAACAGG
This 253-nucleotide ribosomal RNA is filed under the name uncultured bacterium. RNAcentral describes it as "partial 16S ribosomal RNA". It matches the Rfam family "Bacterial small subunit ribosomal RNA", at positions 524 to 776 of the family's 1533-position model. The record is from RNAcentral.